This 434-nucleotide ribosomal RNA is filed under the name Mesovelia dentiventris. RNAcentral's name for it is "partial 16S ribosomal RNA". The record is from RNAcentral. Lineage: Eukaryota; Metazoa; Arthropoda; Insecta; Hemiptera; Mesoveliidae.
GUUCUAUAGAUAUUAAUUUUAGAUUAAACCUGCUCUAUGAUUUAUUAAAUGGCUGCAGUAUUUUAACUGUACUAAGGUAGCAUAAUAAUUUGUCUUUUAAUUGAAGGCUAGAAUGAAUGGUUUGAUGAAAAAUUUACUUUUUUAUUUAAAUAUAUUGAAUUUGAUUUUUUAGUUAAAAAGCUAAGAUUUUUUUAUAGGACGAGAAGACCCUAUAAAAUUUUAUUUUUUUAGUAUGUAUAUUUAUUUUGUUAAUAAUAUAUUUUAUAUAUUCAAUUAAUUUUGUUGGGGUGAUGGGAAAAUUUUUUUAACUUUUCUUUUAUUGUUUCAUUGAUUUAUGUUUUUUUGAUCCUAAAUUUUAGAUUUUAAGAUUAAAUUACUUUAGGGAUAACAGCGUUAUUUUUUUGGAGAGUUCAUAUCGAUGAAAAAGUUUGCGA